AUGAAAACAUCUCAAACCAAUAUGUAUGUAGAACCUGAAAUUAUAUCUUGUGUAUCAAAACGACUAUACAACCUUCCAAAAAGCGAAGGAGGACCAUACAUAAUACAAUACUCCUUUCCAGCACUUUACGUCGCCCGCCUCCCAAUGCAUCCCUGGUCAUCUCCAUGGCCUACAGGAGACGCUUCACCUACAACAGAAUUUCGAGAUAGGAAUCCCUUCUUCACCUACAGCAAAAUUUCGAGAUCCCAACACUAUCAGGCUAAUACAAAGAUCCAUGAGAAGUGUGAAUGCACCAACGUCUCCGAGUAG
Molecule: ribosomal RNA, 309 nt
Filed under: Triticum aestivum (bread wheat)
Lineage: Eukaryota; Viridiplantae; Streptophyta; Magnoliopsida; Poales; Poaceae
Description: partial small subunit ribosomal RNA
Source: RNAcentral